GCGGAUCUGGCCCCGCCGUCGUAGAGGAGGGCUCGGUCCCGAGCUCGGGUCCACCGGAGGGAGGGAGUGGCGCGCCGGCUAGGGAAGGGGCCGAGGUCGAAGCAGAGAAGGGGCCACCGCCUGCUGCUCCGUCGCGCCCUCCUGCGCGCGGUUGCUCUCCUGCACGCGGCGGCUGCCCGCGGCACCCGCCGCUGCACCCUCUCUUGCUCGCGGUGAGCGAGGAUGGCAGUCGGCGCGGGAGGAGGCCCUCACGGAGCCACACCGGCCGCGCUUGGGCGCCGCUGUGCCUGCAAGCCCCCGCGUGCCUCCACGGCGGAGGUGGAGCAGCAGCUCCCCGUCGCGGCCUCGCAGGGCUCUCCGUAGGGAUGAGUCGGCUGUGAGGUAGAGAAGGUCCACCACGCCCCUCCACAGAGCAGUCGACGCGCGCGGGGAAGAGGAGGCCAAGGAGGAUGGCGCCCAACGGAGCGGAAGGUGAGAACGCCAUGGCCGCGAGAUCCGCGAUUCCUGUCGGGGUGGAGCUCAGCUGCGCCUAGCGCUGGGUCCUGGAUGGAGUUGAGGAGCUUGUGGUCACGUGGGUGAAGUGAAUCGAUCGGAGGUGUGGUGCGGCCGGCGAAUUUAACCUUCCUCGGUUCACCGUCGGCUGCUGCCUUCAUCUGAUCUCCACACCGCUGCUGUUUCCUCCAUCAUUAGCUGGUUCCCCGAGGUCUCCCAAGUGAGCUCCUGCUACUGGUUCCACAACUUCGGUACCCUUCCCCUGCCUGCCUGUGCUACCUGGAUUGGGUGCUCUACUUCUGGGACGCAUUCUCAGCGGUGACUUACUACUUCAGCUUGGCAGGUGUGUGGUCUACACAUUUUUACUUUUGGAGUCUGCAGCUUAUAGAUCUUGGGUUCGUUAUAAUUGGCUAUAUGUGCUUAUGUGCAAUGAGUCUGUCAUAAGGUCUGUGCUGCACACAUUGUUUAGCUUUGGAGCAUUCAGCUUAUAGAUCCUUGGUGCUUCAAAUUGCUGUGCCUAUUGUUUAGUUUCAAGGUAUGGGGAUUGUGAAUC
Long non-coding RNA from Panicum virgatum (switchgrass), 1045 nucleotides. RefSeq lists it as uncharacterized. The transcript is spliced from 2 exons. Lineage: Eukaryota; Viridiplantae; Streptophyta; Magnoliopsida; Poales; Poaceae. The record is from RefSeq and is a predicted model, not a curated record.